RNAcentral lists this ribosomal RNA (253 nucleotides) under uncultured bacterium. Its description in RNAcentral is "partial 16S ribosomal RNA". It matches the Rfam family "Bacterial small subunit ribosomal RNA", at positions 524 to 776 of the family's 1533-position model. The record is from RNAcentral.
UACGGAGGGUGCUAGCGUUAAUCGGAAUUACUGGGCGUAAAGGACACGUAGGUGGUUCAUUAAGUUAGAUGUGAAAUCCCUGAGCUUAACUCAGGAACUGCAUUUAAUACUAAUGGACUAGAGUUUCGUGGAGGGAGGUAGAAUUCCAAGUGUAGCGGUGAAAUGCGUAGAUAUUUGGAGGAAUACCAGAGGCGAAGGCGACCUCCUAAACGAAUUCUGACACUGAGGUGUGAAAGCAUAGGGAGCAAACAGG